This 253-nucleotide ribosomal RNA is filed under the name uncultured bacterium. RNAcentral describes it as "partial 16S ribosomal RNA". It matches the Rfam family "Bacterial small subunit ribosomal RNA", at positions 524 to 776 of the family's 1533-position model. The record is from RNAcentral.
UACGGGGGGGGCAAGCGUUGUUCGGAAUUACUGGGCGUAAAGGGCUUGUAGGUGGCCAACUAAGUCAGCCGUGAAAUCCCUCGGCUUAACCGGGGAACUGCGUCUGAUACUGGAUGGCUUGAGUGUGGGAGAGGGAUGCGGAAUUCCAGGUGUAGCGGUGAAAUGCGUAGAUAUCUGGAGGAACACCGGUGGCGAAGGCGGCAUCCUGGACCAUAACUGACACUGAUAAGCGAAAGCCAGGGGAGCAAACAGG